UUACUCUUACAUCACUUACAAAU
Molecule: non-coding RNA, 23 nt
Filed under: Rattus norvegicus (Norway rat)
Lineage: Eukaryota; Metazoa; Chordata; Mammalia; Rodentia; Muridae
Source: RNAcentral